UACUAAAAUGAAUUAUGUUUAUAGGUGAAUAGAAUUCUUUUUUAGUUUAGGGUGGCCAGUUACUAACAGUGGCCAGUUACUAGAGAAUUACCCUAUAUCGGUUUAGUAAGUUAUGAAUAUUUAGAAUCUGUGCUCAAUAGAUAUUCUACUCUAAAUUUAUGGGAAUAGAGUUGUUUUUCUUUUUUCACAUUUGAUCAUAAUAAUUAUUGUAUGUAUAGGUUACUAGCCUCGUAUUUUAAGAUAAAAUCAAAUAAAUAUUGGUUUUAUUUCGACUGGCCAUAAUGACAACUGAUAAUGACAUUGCGAUCAGUCGAAAUUUUCCUUUUAGGCUUUUAACCAAACUCCUAAGACAUGUCUGCAAAGAUUUUGAUAGCACACGCAGUGCAAGUGUUAUUAUAAACGUCAUAAAAGUUUGUCAUUUCAUAGAAGUUUGACAUUUAAAAUAACACUUGCACUCCGUGUGCUACCAAAAUCGUUGCAGACUUAUCUUGGUCUAACUCUACUAUCGAGAUGUCACCAAAUCGUCAAUGUCAUCAGCUGUUGCUUGUCGAGUCAAGCCCUUGACUGCUCUGAAAGGACAAUGGCAAAAUAAGGCUAGCUAGAGUGAUACGUGGGCCAUACUGAAAGUUUCUGGAUUCUGAUAUUUGUGAUAUAUGAGACGACUUAUUUUUUUCUAAGUGGUCAGUCCAGCAAUUUUCAGUAUGCCCUAAGAGAUUUUUCGAGAUUGUAAUUGCUAUCAUAGAGUAAAAGUAAAGAUAGAGUGGUAACUCCAUACAUCAGUUUUAUUACCAAAACGAGAGUUAUUUCGUAGUCGACAUAAAAGUUCGAUUGUCUCAAUUUGUUGAACCAAUCUGUCAUUUCAGUAUAAAAUUGGUAAAAAUGGCCAUUUUUACCCAAUUAUUAUUGUUUUUACUUGCUAGCCCUAGCUUGCUGUUAAUCCUUUUCCAGGCAUAGUACGAUUUAUCGACCACAUAUGCGCCACUAGAAUUUCAACUUUAGCAUUCCGAUUUAAGAUUCAAAUUAGAUUGCACUUUCGGGAAAUUUGACUUGUCUUCAAAUGAAUCAUCAUUAAUCGGAAUAUAUUUGGAUUUUUCGGGAAAACCUUGUAGAUUGGUGCGGCCUGGCAAGAGGUUAAAUGAAAUGGUGCCGGCACCUACUGUAUCUAAAUAUAGUAUAGUGUUUAUAUUAUUGCGCCAAAUUAAUUUAAAAGGGUGCCUAAGUAUAAAAAUGACCCAUUUUAAUGGCUAAUUGUCUGAUAGUGUCUAAAUGGGCCCACUGGACGGUAUCGGCCUGUCAGUUGGAACAAAAUUUUGACAGUUCCGAACAACUGACAGGCCGAUACCGUGCGGCGGACUGUUAAUCAGUGGGCCCCUUAAGGGUUUUUGGCAAAGGAUACCAGUUUAGAGGUUGUCAAUGAGGCCUAAAUAAGUCUCAGGCAUCCGAAAGUGGUACCUUUCUUAACGAGAUUCUUGAAUUUUUUGGAGUAAGCAGGGUUCAGAUGUUAUUUUCCCUGCUUUUGAGUUAUUUUAGGAAGGACGUGGUCUCGCAACUUUGCCCCGGGAGGUCAAAUUUGUCCACAAGUUAUAGUUAUGAAUUAUCUCAGAUGAUUUUUUUGGGCUCGGGUCCUAAUCCGUUAAACAAAAGCCUUUGUUUCUUUUAAGAGCGGUCUUCAGCACGUGCCAAAGCAACCAUGUCGUUUAAAAAGCAACCAUUGUGAUAGUAUUAAGGUUAAAAUUCAUGUAACAGUUCAUUCAGAGAACAAUGAGGGUGGUCUUGUUGUUAGAGAUAACAAAACGUGUUAUCUCCAAAUGGGCUGUUUCAUGAAUUUGAACCAUAUAAUUAGAACGGUAAAUUUUCGUUUUAAACGGGCUUGUUCCCGUUACUUAUGUCGGGGCUAUUAACAGUAACCACUGCAUAAAGGAAACAAUACCUUUUGUUUAACAGAUUAGGGCCCGAGCCCGAAAAAAUCACCUGAGAUAAUUCAUACUAUAAUUCCAAAAUAUUUCCCGACAUUGUUUAAGUUUAUAAUUGCCAAACCAUUCCGUUGUGUUUUGAAUAUUUUUUCACAAAUCAAAAUUCUAUAUCGUCAGGCGACAAGCAAAACUCACUAAUGACUACGACAAGUUAAUAGUCAUAGUGAACCAUAUUAAUACCCUAAUAAGGUUGAUUUUUGUUUAAUAUUUUUUUAGUUAUUAGUGAGUUUUGCUUGGUAUCUGACGAUAUGUUAUUUGGUUACAUAGUUGGCUAUUGUAGGCUACUUCUCUUCUUCCUCGCGUUAUCCCGACAUUUCACCACGGCUCAUGGGAGCCUGGGGUACGCUUGGCAACUAAUCCCAAGAAUUGGCGUAGGCGCUAGAUUUUACGAAAGCGACUGCCAUCUGACCUUCCAAUCCAGAGGGGAAACUAGGCCUUAUUGGGAUUAGUCCGGUUUCACGAUGUUUUCCUUCACCGAAAAGCGACUGGUAAAUAUCCAAUGAUAUGUAUUUCGUACAUCAGUUUCAAAUAACCUCAUUGGUACGAGCCGGGGUUUGAAUUUGAACCCGCGACCUCCGGAUUGCAAGUCGCACGCUCUUACAGCUAGGCCACCAGCGCUUUUGAAAUUCCGGAACUGCCUAUUAAAAUGCCUAUGUUUGACAAUUAAAUUAAACUCUCGUGCUUAACCCUGGGAGGGUUAUGAGGGGAGGGCAAUGUAAAGUUGCGAGUUAACAUUAAAAGUAUUUCAGUCUGUAUGUAUGUAUGUAUUACAAAGUUAAGGGGUGUAAUUUUUUAUAUUAUUUUGUGGACCAAAUGUUUUUACAAGCUUUCCUAAAAAUGUCAUAAAUGUACUGAUUAAUUGUUUUAUUUAAUGUUAUAUACAUAAAUAUCUUCAAUGUGUUUAUUUUGGUCGGAUAUUUUAAGCUAAGACACUUGAAUAAGUGUUGGUUGGACUAUAUAGACCAAUCAAUAAGGCAAGUGAUUCUAACAAUAAUUACACCUUUUGUUUUCCAUAUGGAUAAAAUGAUAGAGAAUGCUUGAAGUAAUUUUGACCGUAUCGUUAUAAAACACUUGUUUUUAAGCAAAAUUUGUACCGCUAUUGUAUCUUAGUGUAAAGUGUAAAAAUGUAUCUCGUAUAUUGGUUAAAUUUAUUUUAUUGUAAGAAAAUAUAUGAAAUUAAAUGGA
Long non-coding RNA from Cydia splendana, 3158 nucleotides. RefSeq lists it as uncharacterized. The transcript has 2 exons. The record is from RefSeq and is a predicted model, not a curated record. NCBI's taxonomy places the organism in Eukaryota, Metazoa, Arthropoda, Insecta, Lepidoptera, Tortricidae.